CAGAGCCUGAGAAAUCAGUCUGGAAUAGGUCUAAGUAAGAAAAACACUAAAGAACACUUAAGAGUGGAACUGAAGUCACCCUGAAGAAAGAAAAAUUCUGCCUGUGGACUGAAGCUUCAAUUUGUGCCUGAGAAGAAGUCCAACCUGCCCUUCGUAAUAACCAACCCUGUGGAUUUUGGACCUGUCUAGUCAGCCUACACAAUCAUAACAUGAAGAGCUCUGGAUCUCCUAGACAACUCACAAAUAUCACACAGAUCCAUCACAUUGACAUGCAGAAUGAAAAGAAUGAGUAAAGUGGCUACAACAAAGAAGGCCUUGGUAAGAUACAGAGAGUGGAAGAAAAACCCUAUGAAGUUUCAUGAACUGGCUGCUUCAAAAUUUUUCAGAUGUAGAGAGAGCCAUACACCCUGUUCCGAGGAUGGUAAAGUCCUAUUUCAGAAAAGAAUAUAGCAGCGAAUACAGGAAUAGUCUAGAUCAAUUAAGAAAAAGAUCAUGUACUCAAGAAGGACAAAACAAUAGAAUAUUUUCCAAGGGCUGCAACAAGCUGGAAGAAAAUGGACGUUACUAAUUUUUACCCAUUGAAUUUGCUGAAACUACCAAGAUUAUUUUCUGUAAGACUGAUGUUAUAUUUCUCCUUAAAAAAUUGAGUACAUAUACUGGUGAAUCUUCUUGGGCCUGAAGAUGUCAUUUGUGAGUCCAUGCUGAUUCAAAUUACAUAAAUUGAUGAAGUGGAAUCAGCAUCAACAGUAUUGAUAAUGCCAGUGAGAAUGUAGCUGAGAAAUGACCUAAUAAAGGCAAGAAGGGGAUUGAAGAGGAUUCAGCAAUUCCAAAUGAAAAAGACUACCAGCUUUUUGUGAUUUCUGUUUUGCUUCAUAUGGGAAGACUAAAUUUUCAAAAUGGAACCAACAACUGUUUUGCCAUGAUCUUUGUCGACAUUUUAUGCUCAUUAAAUCAGGUUUCAGUCUGAAAUAUCAGUUCUUGGUGCACUCACGGCCAAAGAAUGACCAGACAUGCCAAAGU
This is a long non-coding RNA of Lemur catta (Ring-tailed lemur), 1020 nucleotides long. RefSeq lists it as uncharacterized. The record is from RefSeq and is a predicted model, not a curated record. NCBI's taxonomy places the organism in Eukaryota, Metazoa, Chordata, Mammalia, Primates, Lemuridae. The transcript has 9 exons.